This 466-nucleotide ribosomal RNA is filed under the name uncultured bacterium. RNAcentral describes it as "bacterial SSU rRNA". It matches the Rfam family "Bacterial small subunit ribosomal RNA", at positions 331 to 795 of the family's 1533-position model. The record is from RNAcentral.
CCAGACUCCUACGGGAGGCAGCAGUGAGGAAUAUUGGUCAAUGGGCGCGAGCCUGAACCAGCCAAGUCGCGUGAGGGAGGACGGCCCUACGGGUUGUAAACCUCUUUUGCCGGGGAGCAACGGGCGUCACGUGUGGCGCCACUGAGAGUACCCGGAGAAAAAGCAUCGGCUAACUCCGUGCCAGCAGCCGCGGUAAUACGGAGGAUGCGAGCGUUAUCCGGAUUUAUUGGGUUUAAAGGGUGCGCAGGCGGAGGUGCAAGUCAGCGGUCAAAUUGCGGGGCUCAACCCCGUACUGCCGUUGAAACUGCAUCCCCUGAGUGCGCGAGAAGUAUGCGGAAUGCGUGGUGUAGCGGUGAAAUGCAUAGAUAUCACGCAGAACUCCGAUUGCGAAGGCAGCAUACCGGCGCGCAACUGACGCUCAUGCACGAAAGCGUGGGUAUCGAACAGGAUUAGAUACCCCGGUAUC